This is a non-coding RNA of Cricetulus griseus (Chinese hamster), 3577 nucleotides long. The record is from RefSeq and is a predicted model, not a curated record. NCBI's taxonomy places the organism in Eukaryota, Metazoa, Chordata, Mammalia, Rodentia, Cricetidae.
UGCUCUGGCAUCCUAGCUGGCACUCACAUUCAGAGGACUUGGUUUGGUCCAAUGCUGGUUCCCCAGCUUUACGACUGGGGUCCGUGUGCUCUCGCUAGGUCAGAUCAGCUGGUGCUGUUGGUUUCUCCAGCACUGUCCUGGCUCCUUUGCUCAUCCCUCCUCCUUCUCCGCAACUGGAGUCCAGGAAUAUGGUUCAAUGUUUAGCUGUGGGUGCCUGUUUCUGCUUCGAUCAGCUACUGGAUAAGUGCUUGGGAUAGUAAACUGAAAUGAAAUUCCCCAUCUUCUGUGAAGCAGUCGUUUGCAGGAACAAAUGGAUGAGUGGGUGUGUACCUGUACCUAGAGCUGGGUGCAGUGUCCUGAAGGCAUGCAGGAGAAGUUUAUGUUGAGGAAGUUUUCACAGGAGACAGCAUGGAGCUGAGAUUGGAAGGAACUCAAAAGGCAUUCUGGGUAAGCAAAAUGGAGGAGGAAGUUAGAGGAAGAGAAUGUGCAAGGAAAUCAAGACAUAUUUGGGGACUCUCAAGUAGUUCAGUUUUUAUCUUUAAAUGUAUUUAUUGAUAUUUUCUGUAUGUGGGAGCAUGUGUGUCUGUCUAUCUGUCUGUGUCUGUGUGUGGGAUUGCAUGUGCCAUACCGUAUGUGUGGAGGUCAAAGGGCAGCUUUGUGGAGUUGGUUUUCUCCUUUCACUUUUAUAUGGGCUCAGGGAAUUGAACCCAGGCUGCCAGGCUUGUACAGCAAGUGCCUUUCCUGCCUAAGCUGCCCCCUUGGCCUGUACUUCAGUUUUAUUGGUGUUCAAAUUACAAACCUAGGAGUAUCGGCAGAAAUAAAUAAAUAAAUAAAUAAAUAAAUAAUCAUAUAAUAAGGGAACAAAGAAAGUGAAAAGAUAAUAGGAAAAUGGUGAAGUUUUAGACCAGUGGUUAAGGAAGUAAAGAGGACUAUUUUAUGAGGCAGUGGGUGAUGGGAUGGCAGAUCAUUGCAAGUGUGUUUAGGGUGACAUUCCAGAGACUCACAAUUUCUUAUUUUCUUGGGUAUUAUUCUCUGCAUGAAAUGGUGAGAGGAAGCUAACUUAAUGUUUGCUUGACCUUUACAUGCAGAGGCAGAUGUAUUAAAGGGACAAGAGAGCAUGGACACUGGCAAAAGAGUGUGGACAGUGUCUGACGCUGUGUUAUCUAAUUUCUAUUAGAGUGUGAGGUAAAGUGGGAUGGAUUGAUAUUGAAGAAUGGGGCAAUAGAGCUGAAGAUUGUGUUACUAGAAGCCUCCAAGUGAGACAGCUGUAAGGGUUAGUGAUGGCCAGAGAACACUAUAUUGAAUUUUGAGAAUUCAGGGGAGUUGUUUUUAACAGAGGCUAUUGGAAUCUUAUUCCUUUACGUUCACAAAGAGGAGCCAGUGAUAGGAAUUCAAAGACAAAAAUGAUCAAAGCUCAUUGUAGAGUUCAGUAAGGUUACUAGAAUCAGUAUAAAAAUAUGGUAGAUAAUUGAGGACAGUCGAUGGCCUGGUGGGAAAAGGCACCUGUUACCACGCCUGACUGAAUGGAUCCUCUUGGCUCAUGUGGUAGGAGAGAAGCAACUCCUGCAAGUUGUCCUCUGACUUCAAUAUAGUCACUGCAUUUGCUCAUGUGUGUGUGCAUGCACACAUGUAAGUAAAUGUAAAAAAUCAAAGCAGAUACAUUGAAUUAUCUAAUUUUCUAAUGAGUCAUCAUUUAUAAUGGCAACAAAAUCCUAAGAAUGUGAACAACCUACCCAAGGAUAUGCAAGCCUUUUGUGGAGAGAGUAUUUUACUAUCUUUGCUAGGAGAGAAUAUUUUAAGUAUAUCUUUGCUAGGUGCAUUUAUCAGAUGCUUUUCUCAUUUUUUCCUUUGUUUCAAGAACAUCUCUUCCACUCCAUGAGAAAUACAUUUCUAGACUAAGCCAGACCUUCAGCAAACUGCAUACUUACUUACAUAAAACUAUGUCUCUGAAGAAGUGAUGUGGUAAAGUUGCUCUCAAAUGUUUUGCCUCUUUUUUAAGACUUUAUAAGUACAUGCUUUAUAGAAAGUUUGUUUAUGUAUUUAAAAGUAAAAGUUAAACAACCAAAAAGCUGACUGGAAAAGUUUAUUCUUUUUUAAAUAUAUUCUUCCUUUAAGACAAAGUCUCCUUUAGCCCAGGCUGGCCUCAUACUUACUGUGUAGCAGAGAAUGACCUUGAGCUUCUUACCGUCCUGCUUCUACACGCCCCUCCAUGCCUAGCACAGCUGUGAGGUGGGACUCAUCGUGGCCCUCUGUUACCCGAUAGAGAAAAUGAGGCUAAGUGACUUGCUGGGGAGCGGCAGAGCCAUCAUCCAAAUCCAGGCGGUUUGACUCCGGAUUCUGUGCCGGCUAUGUGACAACUAGAGAGAAGAUGAGACAAAGGCGGGGGAAUUUUAUGCAUGUGUAAAUUUGGCGUAGGUCCCAGUUACGCCUCAAAACAGGGAGAGAGGUGAGUGUCCUGAGAGUGAAGCAGGGUGUUUUGAAUAGGCCGUUUUUACUUCCAGCAUGCUGUUCCCAUGGAUACUCAGUCUUAGUGCGCCUCUUAUAAUUUCUCCUUAUUUUGGGGGCAUUCCUCAGUCUUGAGGAAUUUGAGGAGCUCUGCCAUCUGGCUAUCUGUCUGUUCCUGAUUAAUGUGUGGAUCCUAUCACCAGCACUGGAAGCAUGAAAGUAAAAACAGUAACUUUAUGCUUUUGACUGAAAGAGACACUCUCCGUGGAAUGUAAAUUCCUGGGACCCUGUUUGAUGGCACCCCUAGUGAAGGAUUGGGAACAUGCUAAUAACUGCCCUUCUAGGACCAUUUAGUCACUACUUUUGGUAGGUAGGCCAUCUUGAUAAUCUUCCUGUCUCCGAAUGAACUGGUGUGUGUGUGCGCGCGCGCGCGUGCGCGCGCAUUGCAUGUGAGUGUGAGUACACAUGCCGUGUUGGAGCAUGCAGAGGCCAGAGCAGGCUGUUAGUGAAAUUAAAUUUUAAGAAAAUUAAAACUUAUGAAGCAUCUAUCUGCCUGUUUUUUAGAUUAUUUUUAGUAAAGUUCAACUUAUAACUCAGAUUAAAUGAGAUCCUAUUUUUAGAAUAUAAGAUUUCAUUGAGCCAACUUUCAUAAAAAUAUUAUGGUCCUGGUGAUCCUAAAUAGUAUUAUGUUGCCUUACCAUAUUCUACAAAUAAGUAAAUCUGGUUCCUGAGUUACUGAGCUCUUUGUGUACACAGUUAUAAUAAUUUUGUAAUUGCCACUCAUCUGUCACUCUCUGCCUUAUUGCCUUGACACAAGGUCCCACUGAACCAGAAGCUUACCCUUUCAGUGAGGCUGGCUGGCCAGUGAGCUCUUGCGAUCUGCCUGUCUCCUGUUGAUGUGGGGGUUGCAGGUGUUCACAGCCAUGCUUGCCCUCUGUGCGAUGCUGGGCAUUGACACUCUGGUCUUCACGUUUGCUGAGCAAGUUUUUACUCACGGAACCUUCUCCCUAGCCCUGGGUGAACUUUGUUCUUUACAGUCAUUGAUCAUCAGUUCCUUGUGAGGUUUAGUGUGGUCCCUGUGGGCAGUCUGUUCCUACAUAGGAAGAAAAAGCAGGCAGAAAAAAGAGAGAGA